CCUACGGGUGGCAGCAGUGGGGAAUAUUGCACAAUGGGGGAAACUCUGAUGCAGCGACGCCGCGUGAGUGAAGAAGUAAUUCGUUAUGUAAAGCUCUAUCAGCAGGGAAGAAAAUGACGGUACCUGAGUAAGAAGACCCGGCGAACUACGUGCCAGCAGCCGCGGGAAUACGUAGGGGGCAAGCGUUAUCCGGAUUUACUGGGUGUAAAGGGAGCGUAGACGGCAGGGCAAGUCUGGAGUGAAAGGCGGGGGCUCAACCCCCGAACUGCACUGGAAACUGUACGGCUGGAGUGCAGGAGAGGUAAGUGGAAUUCCUAGUGUAGCGGUGAAAUGCGUAGAUAUUAGGAGGAACACCAGUGGCGAAGGCGGCUUACUGGACUGUAACUGACGUUGAGGCUCGAAAGCGUGGGGAGCAAACAGGAUUAGAUACCCCAGUAGUC
Molecule: ribosomal RNA, 440 nt
Filed under: uncultured bacterium
Lineage: Bacteria
Description: partial 16S ribosomal RNA
Rfam family: Bacterial small subunit ribosomal RNA
Source: RNAcentral